UUAAGAUUCUUAUGGACCCAUAACAUAAGCUAAGACAUGUAUGGAUUCUUCUAGAUUUUUAUUUUGACAAGAGAAAAGACAUAAAGACACCAUCGAAGUUGUCUCAUAUUUGCAUAAAGACACCUAAACUUUUGAAGUGUCCUAUCACACCACAAAACAACUAUAUAUCAUUGUAAAUUGGCCAUUUUUACCCAUUAACUCAUCUGGGUUGUUUACACGCACGUUAAGUGCAUCAUGGGCCAUUUUUCCUUUUUAUUUACCAGUUUAAAACAACCACAUGUCAUUUUAUUUCUUUAAUAUUAAUUAUUUAAUCAAUUUUUGUAUCUUCCCCAAUUUAAACUCAAAAAUAGCCGUUGGUAGCCCUAAAAUUUUGUUCCAUGGCAAGAACAAUAUUGGUGCUCUCUUUUUGACGACUUCAUAUCUUCCUCAAGAAAAUAAGGUAGGUAUUCGUCUUUUCUCUUUUAAUUUCCAGUAGAAACGUUAAUUUGAAGUUUUUUUUAUGGUUGAAUUUCUUCUCAAUUUUAUGGUUAGUUUUUGAUUGAAAAUGUUAAAUGCAAUGUUGAAUCGUAUUUGUAAUGAUGAGAAUGAUCCGAUGUUGCGAGUGAAACUGCGAUGCAAACAUGGUGACUUACUAUCAAUGCAAACUUCAUGGUCGGAGCAUAACCCAACUCGAAGAUUUUGGUCUUGUCCACGCUAUCGUGAGAAUGCGUGCAACUUCUUUAGAUGGAGGGAUCGAGAAGAAGUUGAUAUAAGAUCCAAGUGUGUUAUUCCGAGAUUAGCAAAGAGAAUUAAGGAGUUGGAAGAAAUAUUGACAUCUUAUGAAAGUCGUGUUGAAAGUAACCAAGUCAUGAUGAAGGAGAAAAA
Long non-coding RNA from Solanum lycopersicum (tomato), 864 nucleotides. RefSeq lists it as uncharacterized. NCBI's taxonomy places the organism in Eukaryota, Viridiplantae, Streptophyta, Magnoliopsida, Solanales, Solanaceae. The record is from RefSeq and is a predicted model, not a curated record.